AGUGAACGCUGGCGGUAGGCCUAGCUCAUGCAAGUCGAACGGCAGCACAGUAAGAGCUUGCUCUUACGGGUGGCGAGUGGCGGACGGGUGAGGAAUACAUCGGAAUCUACUUUUUCGUGGGGGAUAACGUAGGGAAACUUACGCUAAUACCGCAUACGACCUACGGGUGAAAGCAGGGGAUCUUCGGACCUUGCGCGAUUGAAUGAGCCGAUGUCGGAUUAGCUAGUUGGCGGGGUAAAGGCCCACCAAGGCGACGAUCCGUAGCUGGUCUGAGAGGAUGAUCAGCCACACUGGAACUGAGACACGGUCCAGACUCCUACGGGAGGCAGCAGUGGGGAAUAUUGGACAAUGGGCGCAAGCCUGAUCCAGCCAUACCGCGUGGGUGAAGAAGGCCUUCGGGUUGUAAAGCCCUUUUGUUGGGAAAGAAAAGCAGCAGGUUAAUACCCCGCUGUUCUGACGGUACCCAAAGAAUAAGCACCGGCUAACUUCGUG
This 492-nucleotide ribosomal RNA is filed under the name uncultured bacterium. Its description in RNAcentral is "partial 16S ribosomal RNA". It matches the Rfam family "Bacterial small subunit ribosomal RNA", at positions 29 to 507 of the family's 1533-position model. The record is from RNAcentral.